UGGAGCCAGUCUUCCCAAGGUGAAAUCCUAACUUUGCCACUUACUAGCCAUGUGAACUUGGGCAAGUGACCUAAUCCUCUGCAUUUCAUCUCUAAAUUGGGGAGAAUAGAAGCAUCUACUUCAUGUAGUAGCCAGGAUUAGAAGAGGGAGGAAUAACUGGGCCCUGGAUAGAAUGUGAUGAAUGUAUAUUCUUAAUGAGAAGUGGAAAUAAUUUGUGGUUGAGAGCUGUGCCUCAGAUCAGAGUGACAGGAUACAUGGCUAGGCUAUAUUUUCCAGCAGAUUAAGAGCUGCGGCCCAAGACUCUGAAAUAUGAAGAAAAAAGGAGAAGAUGACAGCAUAUCUUUUUAAAGAAAUAUUUUCCAGCCAAAUGGUGUAGCAGAGGACUUCCAGGAAUUUGUUCUUGUUCUGUAUCAAAGGUGAAGAGUUCGUAGCCUUCAAGGAAACAAGAAACCAUGGGAUGGAGUGAAGGAAGGUGGCCUGGAACCAGCUGCUGAGCCUCUCUGAGCCCCAGUUUCCUCGUCUCUAAAAUGGGGCUGAUCUCCUCUCCCUCAGACUGUUGUUGCAGGAAUUAAAACAGGUGUUGAGUGGGAAAGCAUCAGUCCCAUAGCAAAUGGCCCCUGAGUAGUAGGAUCUGAGUUCUGGUUCUGGUCCUGCUGGGGUAUGGCUGGUUGAGAGGUCAAAGAGGUAAUUAAAGGGAUUGCCAGCUUCA
This 709-nucleotide long non-coding RNA is filed under the name Homo sapiens (human). Its description in RNAcentral is "HSALNT0292103". The record is from RNAcentral. Lineage: Eukaryota; Metazoa; Chordata; Mammalia; Primates; Hominidae.